This 429-nucleotide unclassified non-coding RNA is filed under the name soil metagenome. RNAcentral's name for it is "partial contains 5.8S ribosomal RNA, internal transcribed spacer 2, and large subunit ribosomal RNA". The stretch from base 1 to 120 matches the Rfam family "5.8S ribosomal RNA", at positions 35 to 154 of the family's 154-position model. The record is from RNAcentral.
GAUGAAGAACGUAGCGAAAUGCGAUACGUAAUGUGAAUUGCAGAAUUCAGUGAAUCAUCGAAUCUUUGAACGCAUAUUGCGCUCUCUGGUAUUCCGGAGAGCAUGCUUGUUUGAGUAUCAGUAAACACCUCAACUCCCUUUUCUUUUUUGAAAUUGGAGCUGGACUUGAGUGAUCCCAACGCUUUCUUCCAAGAAAGUGGCGGGUUGCUUGAAAUGCAGGUGCAGCUGAACUUUUCUCUGAGCUAUAAGCAUAUCUAUUUAGUCUGCCUAAAAAACAGAUUAUUACCUUUGCUGCAGCUAACAUAAAGGAGACUAGUUCUUGUGCUGACUGAUGCAGGAUUCACAGAGACAGCUUCGGCUGACUUUGUAAACUCGAUCUCAAAUCAAGUAAGACUACCCGCUGAACUUAAGCAUAUCAAUAAGCGGGGA